GUUUUUACUUAGAUUUGGGUGGCGGACGGGUGAGUAACGCGUAAAGAACUUGCCUCACAGCUAGGGACAACAUUUAGAAAUGAAUGCUAAUACCUGAUAUUAUGAUUUUAAGGCAUCUUAGAAUUAUGAAAGCUAUAUGCACUGUGAGAGAGCUUUGCGUCCCAUUAGCUAGUUGGAGAGGUAACAGCUCACCAAGGCGAUGAUGGGUAGCCGGCCUGAGAGGGUGAACGGCCACAAGGGGACUGAGACACGGCCCUUACUCCUACGGGAGGCAGCAGUGGGGAAUAUUGGACAAUGGACCGAGAGUCUGAUCCAGCAAUUCUGUGUGCACGAUGAAGUUUUUCGGAAUGUAAAGUGCUUUCAGUUGGGAAGAAAUAAAUGACGGUACCAACAGAAGAAGUGACGGCUAAAUACGUGCCAGCAGCCGCGGUAAUACGUAUGUCACGAGCGUUAUCCGGAUUUAUUGGGCGUAAAGCGCGUCUAGGUGGUUAUGUAAGUCUGAUGUGAAAAUGCAGGGCUCAACUCUGUAUUGCGUUGGAAACUGUAUAACUAGAGUACUGGAGAGGUAAGCGGAACUACAAGUGUAGAGGUGAAAUUCGUAGAUAUUUGUAGGAAUGCCGAUGGGGAAGCCAGCUUACUGGACAGAUACUGACGCUAAAGCGCGAAAGCGUGGGUAGCAAACAGGAUUAGAUACCCUGGUAGUCCACG
RNAcentral lists this ribosomal RNA (708 nucleotides) under Fusobacterium sp. HGA0211. Its description in RNAcentral is "bacterial SSU rRNA". It matches the Rfam family "Bacterial small subunit ribosomal RNA", at positions 77 to 799 of the family's 1533-position model. RNAcentral also lists the same sequence under 1 other name. Lineage: Bacteria; Fusobacteriati; Fusobacteriota; Fusobacteriia; Fusobacteriales; Fusobacteriaceae. The record is from RNAcentral.